UACACUCCUGCGGGAGGCAGCAGUGGGGAAUAUUGCACAAUGGGCGCAAGCCUGAUGCAGCCAUGCCGCGUGUAUGAAGAAGGCCUUCGGGUUGUAAAGUACUUUCAGCGGGGAGGAAGGCGAUAAGGUUAAUAACCUUGUUGAUUGACGUUACCCGCAGAAGAAGCACCGGCUAACUCCGUGCCAGCAGCCGCGGUAAUACGGAGGGUGCAAGCGUUAAUCGGAAUUACUGGGCGUAAAGCGCACGCAGGCGGUCUGUCAAGUCGGAUGUGAAAUCCCCGGGCUCAACCUGGGAACUGCAUUCGAAACUGGCAGGCUAGAGUCUUGUAGAGGGGGGUAGAAUUCCAGGUGUAGCGGUGAAAUGCGUAGAGAUCUGGAGGAAUACCGGUGGCGAAGGCGGCCCCCUGGACAAAGACUGACGCUCAGGUGCGAAAGCGUGGGGAGCAAACAGGAUUAGAAACCCUGGUAGUCCCAUG
RNAcentral lists this ribosomal RNA (476 nucleotides) under uncultured organism. Its description in RNAcentral is "partial 16S ribosomal RNA". It matches the Rfam family "Bacterial small subunit ribosomal RNA", at positions 332 to 799 of the family's 1533-position model. The record is from RNAcentral.